CUCGUAGGCGGUUCAGUAAGUUGGGUGUGAAAGCUCCGGGCUCAACCCGGAGAGGCCACCCAAUACUGCUGUGACUAGAGUCCAGUAGAGGAGCGUGGAACUCCUGGUGUAGCGGUGAAAUGCGCAGAUAUCAGGAAGAACACCGGCAGCGAAGGCGGCGCUCUGGGCUGGUACUGACGCUGAGGAGCGAAAGCAUGGGUAGCAAACA
Molecule: ribosomal RNA, 208 nt
Filed under: uncultured bacterium
Lineage: Bacteria
Description: partial 16S ribosomal RNA
Rfam family: Bacterial small subunit ribosomal RNA
Source: RNAcentral